CGCGACAGAGAGUUAUUUGUUUCGCUGUGCAGCGUUCCGGAUGUGCAGGGUCCCAUUCGACCUUGAGGGGACCGAAAAAAAAUCGUUGAAUAUUCACGGAAGGAUACAAAUGAAAAAAUGUGAAAACGAGAUAAAAAAACGUUUCGCACCUUGUAAGGAUUGUACGGAUUUCCGGCGGUCAGCAUUUUUCGUCAUACUUGUGAAGCACUAGAGAACGAUGAACAACGCUGUUUAUUCCUGACAAUGGUAGAUACAAGUCCCAAUAUAUUCCUGCCAGCUGUGCACUUCCGGGGAGAAUAUCGCUGUGGUACGAUCGUGAUUUUCGACCUUGGAGCUUCCCCGAAAUAUCUCCAAUUGCGUAUUGAUCCUGAGUCCCCAGUCCUGAAAGCAAAGAAUCCGAGGACCAUCCGAAGACGCCAAAAUUUAUGGAACAGUCUCACCUCGUGAAGCAAGUCCGCCCGUGUGGUGGGAGUGACACGAUGGGACCGUCAAUUUCGGAGUGGGGAAAGCUACGAUGGGCCAGACUCGAUCGAGAAUUGAACCAGCACGAGUCUUGGGAACGAUCUUGAAGUUAUCUUUGUAUCAGCUAAUCAGAAACAUUGUAAAGGAGAAAACUUUCUAAAUAUUUUUAACACCUUCGGAUGGUAACGCUUGGAGGGCGAUAAAUAGUUAAAAAACUGUAAAAAAAUAAAAUAAAAUAAAAAUGCUACAAUGUAUUUUCGACCCUUGAGAAA
This is a long non-coding RNA of Venturia canescens, 734 nucleotides long. RefSeq lists it as uncharacterized. NCBI's taxonomy places the organism in Eukaryota, Metazoa, Arthropoda, Insecta, Hymenoptera, Ichneumonidae. The record is from RefSeq and is a predicted model, not a curated record. The transcript is spliced from 3 exons.